GACCUUCGGGCCUCUUGCCAUCAGAUGUGCCCAGAUGGGAUUAGCUAGUAGGUGGGGUAACGGCUCACCUAGGCGACGAUCCCUAGCUGGUCUGAGAGGAUGACCAGCCACACUGGAACUGAGACACGGUCCAGACUCCUACGGGAGGCAGCAGUGGGGAAUAUUGCACAAUGGGCGCAAGCCUGAUGCAGCCAUGCCGCGUGUAUGAAGAAGGCCUUCGGGUUGUAAAGUACUUUCAGCGGGGAGGAAGGCGUUGAGGUUAAUAACCUCAGCGAUUGACGUUACCCGCAGAAGAAGCACCGGCUAACUCCGUGCCAGCAGCCGCGGUAAUACGGAGGGUGCAAGCGUUAAUCGGAAUUACUGGGCGUAAAGCGCACGCAGGCGGUCUGUCAAGUCGGAUGUGAAAUCCCCGGGCUCAACCUGGGAACUGCAUUCGAAACUGGCAGGCUAGAGUCUUGUAGAGGGGGGUAGAAUUCCAGGUGUAGCGGUGAAAUGCGUAGAGAUCUGGAGGAAUACNCGGUGGCGAAGGCGGCCCCCUGGACAAAGACUGACGCUCAGGUGCGAAAGCGUGGGGAGCAAACAGGAUUAGAUACCCUGGUAGUCCACGCCGUAAACGAUGUCGACUUGGAGGUUGUGCCCUUGAGGCGUGGCUUCCGGAGCUAACGCGUUAAGUCGACCGCCUGGNGGAGNUACGNGCCGCAAGGUUAAAACUCAAAUGAAUUGACGGGGGCCCGCACAAGCGGUGGAGCAUGUGGUUUAAUUCGAUGCAACGCGAAGAACCUUACCUACUCUUGACAUCCAGAGAACUUUCCAGAGAUGGAUUGGUGCCUUCGGGAACUCUGAGACAGGUGCUGCAUGGCUGUCGUCAGCUCGUGUUGUGAAAUGUUGGGUUAAGUCCCGCAACGAGCGCAACCCUUAUCCUUUGUUGCCAGCGGUCCGGCCGGGAACUCAAAGGAGACUGCCAGUGAUAAACUGGAGGAAGGU
This 984-nucleotide ribosomal RNA is filed under the name uncultured Enterobacter sp. RNAcentral's name for it is "bacterial SSU rRNA". It matches the Rfam family "Bacterial small subunit ribosomal RNA", at positions 208 to 1174 of the family's 1533-position model. Lineage: Bacteria; Pseudomonadati; Pseudomonadota; Gammaproteobacteria; Enterobacterales; Enterobacteriaceae. The record is from RNAcentral.